Molecule: ribosomal RNA, 259 nt
Filed under: Polyscias ornifolia
Lineage: Eukaryota; Viridiplantae; Streptophyta; Magnoliopsida; Apiales; Araliaceae
Source: RNAcentral
GGGCGAGAGUAGUACUAGGAUGGGUGACCCCCUGGGAAGUCCUCGUGUUGCACCCCCYAUCGCCCUUCUUUUUCAUUUUUUUUUGCUUUUUUAGGGGAAGGUAACGAAAGGAAACGCGCGUACGGGUGAACGUGGCUUAUAAAAAGAGCACGCGCGACGUAAAAACUCGCAACGUGCGGUACCGAACCGUGAAAAUAAAGGCACAAAAUCGGAUAAUCGUAACGGUUGGGAAUGUAGGAGUAAAAAGGNNNNNGGAAAA